This 484-nucleotide ribosomal RNA is filed under the name uncultured bacterium. Its description in RNAcentral is "partial 16S ribosomal RNA". It matches the Rfam family "Bacterial small subunit ribosomal RNA", at positions 29 to 523 of the family's 1533-position model. The record is from RNAcentral.
AGUGAACGCUGGCGGCGUGCUUAACACAUGCAAGUCGAACGAGAACGGAUUAUAGCUUGCUAUAAUUGUCAGCUAAGUGGCGCACGGGUGAGUAAUGUAUAGGUAAUAUGCCUCUUACUAAGGGAUAACAAAUGGAAACGUUUGCUAAUACCUUAUACUCCUUAUUAACAGAAGUUAAUAAGGGAAAGAUUUAUUGGUAAGAGAUUAGCCUGUAUUGUAUCAGCUAGUUGGUGGGGUAAUGGCUUACCAAGACUAUGACACAUAACUGGUUUGAGAGGAUGAUCAGUCACACUGGAACUGAGACACGGUCCAGACUCCUACGGGAGGCAGCAGUGGGGAAUAUUGCACAAUGGACGAAAGUCUGAUGCAGCAACGCCGCGUGGAGGAUGACACAUUUCGGUGCGUAAACUCCUUUUAUAUGAGAAGAUAAUGACGGUAUUAUAUGAAUAAGCACCGGCUAACUCCGUGCCAGCCGCCGCCGUAA